CCUACGGGGGGCAGCAGUGGGGAAUAUUGGACAAUGGGCGAAAGCCUGAUCCAGCCAUGUCGCGUGUGUGAAGAAGGCCUUCGGGUUGUAAAGCACUUUCAGUGGGGAAGAAAGCCUUGGGGCUAAUACCCUCGAGGAAGGACAUCACCCACAGAAGAAGCACCGGCUAACUCCGUGCCAGCAGCCGCGGUAAUACGGAGGGUGCGAGCGUUAAUCGGAAUUACUGGGCGUAAAGCGCGCGUAGGCGGUCUGAUAAGCCGGUUGUGAAAGCCCCGGGCUCAACCUGGGAACGGCAUCCGGAACUGUCAGGCUAGAGUGCAGGAGAGGAAGGUAGAAUUCCCGGUGUAGCGGUGAAAUGCGUAGAGAUCGGGAGGAAUACCAGUGGCGAAGGCGGCCUUCUGGACUGACACUGACGCUGAGGUGCGAAAGCGUGGGUAGCAAACAGGAUUAGAUACCCGGGUAGUC
Molecule: ribosomal RNA, 465 nt
Filed under: Vreelandella stevensii
Lineage: Bacteria; Pseudomonadati; Pseudomonadota; Gammaproteobacteria; Oceanospirillales; Halomonadaceae
Description: partial 16S ribosomal RNA
Rfam family: Bacterial small subunit ribosomal RNA
Source: RNAcentral